RNAcentral lists this ribosomal RNA (464 nucleotides) under uncultured bacterium. Its description in RNAcentral is "partial 16S ribosomal RNA". It matches the Rfam family "Bacterial small subunit ribosomal RNA", at positions 339 to 795 of the family's 1533-position model. The record is from RNAcentral.
CUACGGGCUGCACCAGUGAGGAAUUUUGCGCAAUGGGGGAAACCCUGACGCAGCAACGCCGCGUGAGCGAAGAAGGCCCUCGGGUCGUAAAGCUCUGUCAAGUGGGAAAAAAAUCUUUUGAUCAACAGUCAAAAGACUUGAUGGUACCACUGGAGGAAGCACCGGCUAACUCCGUGCCAGCAGCCGCGGUAAUACGGAGGGUGCAAGCGUUGUUCGGAUUUACUGGGCGUAAAGAGCGUGUAGGCGGUUUAGCAAGUCAGAUGUGAAAGCCCUGGGCUCAACCCGGGAAGUGCAUUUGAAACUGCUUCACUAGAGUAUGGGAGAGGAGAUUGGAAUUCCUGGUGUAGAGGUGAAAUUCGUAGAUAUCAGGAGGAACACCCGUGGCGAAGGCGAUUCUCUGGACCAAUACUGACGCUGAGACGCGAAAGCGUGGGGAGCAAACAGGAUUAGAUACCCCGGUAGUC